GCCGGUGUAGUUCAAUGGUAGAACGAGGGACUCAUAAGCCCUAGAAAAAGGUCCGAUUCCUUUCACCGGCAUCA
This 74-nucleotide transfer RNA is filed under the name Candidatus Lloydbacteria bacterium RIFCSPHIGHO2_01_FULL_54_11. Its description in RNAcentral is "tRNA-Met". It matches the Rfam family "tRNA". Rfam says of the family: Transfer RNA (tRNA) molecules are approximately 80 nucleotides in length. The record is from RNAcentral. RNAcentral also lists the same sequence under 3 other names. Lineage: Bacteria; Candidatus Lloydiibacteriota.